Etheostoma spectabile (orangethroat darter) is the source of this 100-nucleotide long non-coding RNA. RefSeq lists it as uncharacterized. The transcript has 3 exons. The record is from RefSeq and is a predicted model, not a curated record. NCBI's taxonomy places the organism in Eukaryota, Metazoa, Chordata, Actinopteri, Perciformes, Percidae.
AAUUAUCACUUCACCCAAUUUUUUAAGUGAAUAAAAUAACCUUGUCUACAUUUGGGAGUUGCACAACUAAGCUUAAGUUACUGAAGUGAUUCAAACAUUG